Molecule: ribosomal RNA, 467 nt
Filed under: uncultured bacterium
Lineage: Bacteria
Description: partial 16S ribosomal RNA
Rfam family: Bacterial small subunit ribosomal RNA
Source: RNAcentral
GACGAACGCUGGCGGCGUGCUUAACACAUGCAAGUCGAACGGAAAGGCCUCUUUCGGGGGGUACUCGAGUGGCGAACGGGUGAGUAACACGUGAGUAACCUGCCCUUGACUUUGGGAUAACUUCAGGAAACUGGGGCUAAUACCGGAUAGGAGCUCCUGCUGCAUGGUGUGGGUUGGAAAGUUUCGGGGGUUGGGGUUGGACUCGCGGCUUCUCAGCUUGUUGGUGGGGUAGUGGCUUACCAAGGCGUUGGCGGGUAGCCGGCCUGAGAGGGUGACCGGCAACAGUGGGACUGGGACACGGCCCCGACCCCUACGGGAGGGAGAAGUAGGGAAUAUUGAACAAUGGGUGGGAGCCUGAUGCAGAACCGCCGUGGGCGGGAUGACGGCCUUGGGGUUGUAAACCGAAUUCGCUCAUGACGAAGCUUUGUGUGACGGUAGUGGGUAAAGAAGCACCGGCUAACUACGUG